GGAUAAUCUGCCCUCAGGUGAGGAAUAAUCCCGGGAAACUGGGGCUAAUGCCUCAUAGGAGACGGGUGCUGGAAUGCUCUGUCUCCGAAAGGUCCGCCGCCUGAGGAUGAGUCUGCGUCCGAUUAGGUUGUUGUUGGGGUAACGGCCCAACAAGCCUUUGAUCGGUACGGGUUGUGGGAGCAAGAGCCUGGAGAUGGAUUCUGAGACAUGAAUCCAGGCCCUACGGGGCGCAGCAGGCGCGAAAACUUUACAAUGCGAGCAAUCGUGAUAAGGAAACCCUGAGUGCCUGUCAAUGCAGGCUGUUCUGGUGUCUAACACACACCAGGAGAAAGGGCGGGGCAAGACCGGUGCCAGCCGCCGCGGUAAUACCGGCUGCUCGAGUGAUAGCCACUUUUACUGGGCUUAAAGCGUUCGUAGCUUGGUCGUUAAGUCUCUGGGGAAAUCUUUUGGCUCAACCAAAAGGCGUCUCAGGGAAACUGACGAUCUUGGAACCGGGAGAGGUAAGACGUACUUCGGGGGUAGGAGUGAAAUCUUGUAAUCCCCGAGGGACGACCGAUGGCGAAGGCAUCUUACCAGAACGGCUUCGACAGUGAGGGACGAAAGCUGGGGGAGCAAACCGGAUUAGAUACCCGGGUAGUCCCAGCCGUAAACGAUGUGCGUUAGGUGUGUCAGUGACCACGAGUCGCUGAGGUGCCGAAGGGAAACCGUGAAACGCACCGCCUGGGAAGUACGGUCGCAAGGCUGAAACU
This 749-nucleotide ribosomal RNA is filed under the name uncultured Methanocalculus sp. RNAcentral's name for it is "bacterial SSU rRNA". It matches the Rfam family "Archaeal small subunit ribosomal RNA", at positions 102 to 856 of the family's 1478-position model. The record is from RNAcentral. Lineage: Archaea; Methanobacteriati; Methanobacteriota; Methanomicrobia; Methanomicrobiales; Methanocalculaceae.